Molecule: long non-coding RNA, 1188 nt
Organism: Phacochoerus africanus (Common warthog)
Lineage: Eukaryota; Metazoa; Chordata; Mammalia; Artiodactyla; Suidae
Exons: 3
Source: RefSeq, a predicted model, not a curated record
GAGGGCAGGGGCCUGGGGGCCCCCUAGUGCGGGCGGGGAGCGGGACCCGAUCUGCUGUCCUUCGCUCCCUUCUGCCUGGGGAUGCUGUCGGAUUCGCGGCCCGGGGUCACCCGGCCCUCAGUUCCCAAACAGGGUCUGUCUUCCUGCCGCCGACAUGGAGGCGGGCGGGGGUGCGGGGCGGCGGCGACCGGACGCGAGCGCGUAAGGAAAUGGAAGCGCACGUGCCAACGGUGGGAAGAGCGCUGCCCUAGACCCCCGGGUCCCUGCGCUCUCAGCUGUGUGCCUUGGGACAAGUCACUCCGCCACUCAGAAACUAGGCUCCAUCAAAGGAGGAAGAUUCCACCACCCCCACAAUGGGAGCCCAGGCAGCUGCUAAAGGUGAGACAGCCUGUGACAAGAUGGACUGGUGGCCCCUAAGGAAACCUCAGCCUCCUGAGGAAGCACCCCAAGCAGGAGCCGACAUCAGAGAACCACAAACAAGAUUGUAACUGUGUGAGAUGGGGGAACAGGCCUACAAGUAGGCCCUGGGAAGAAUGCGAGCCAAGAGCCUGAAUUGAUCUUCACACCUGGAUUUUCAAGCCAAGCCCUGCCCUGCUAGCCGUGGCUCCUCUGGGCCGCCCCUCCCAGCCCUGUCCUCCUGGACAGCAACCCCCGUUCCUCUUUCCCAGGCACAGAGAGGGACACUGAGCACACUGGCCCUGGGGGAACUGCUUUGUGCAAGUCGGAAGGGAGGAGGGUUGGUGGGUCAGGUGGCUUCCUCCCUCCAAAGUCAGAGGGUGGGGAGGUAAGGGGAGGGAACCUUUGCCACAUCUUGUCCUGAAUUUGGAGAAUGUGGGGCCAGAUUCCAAGCAGUCUCUGUGGUGACUGUGGGCAGGAAUGCAUCUGGAGCAGGAAGCCCAGCCAGCAGGAAUGCGGUGUCUCAGCACAAGCCUUUGUGUGGGCUCAAACCACACACACACACACACACACCCCAAGCACCCUCUCCAUGCAGAUGUGCACAGUUGGGGGGGCUCACCCCAUCUGCCCUCUGCUGCCCUGACUGCCAGCCCCAUGCCUGCUGGGCCAGGCAUUUACCCCCCUACCUCAGAGGGCCCUGAGGCCCCACAUGACCACCUCCACCGUCCUACUAGAGGAGAAUCUCCAACUUUUUAUUUUUAUUUUUUAGGGCUGCACCCAUGCAUAGAACCA